CCAACCUCGCCUUCCCUCAUUUCUUCCCAUCCCUCAGAGAGAAAGAGAGAGAGAGAGAUGGUGUGGUUCCAGUGUGAAGACUGUGGGGAAAACCUCAAGAAACCAAAGUUGCCCGGGCAUUUCAGAAUCUGCUCUGCUUCGAAGCUUUCAUGUAUUGAUUGUGGUACAACAUUCAACCAGCAAACUGUUCAAGGACAUACACAGUGUGUUACGGAAAUGGAGAAAUAUGGCCCAAAAACUCAAGCGAAAACCCCUACUAGUUCACAAACGAAGACCAAGGCUGAACAGAAGCAAGAUCUAGAUUUUGAUGUCAAUGCUGGAUUGUCCUCUCGCCCACCUUGGUUUUGCAGCCUAUGCAAUACGCAGGUAACAAGUAAGCAGACAUUAUUGAGCCAUGCCGAGGGAAAGAAGCACAAGGCAAAAGCACGAGCCUUCCAUUAUGCAAACAAACCUCCUAAUGAAAGUCAAUCAACUCUAAGUGAGAAGAGUUGUGCUAAUGGGCAUGCAGAAGUGGCUAAUGGCCUGGAGAAAGUUGAUCAUCCAAAAUCUGCUGCUACUCCAGAAAAGGAUAUGGAAAAUCCACCUGAAAGGCAUAAAAGAAAACUGGAACCAGAAAAUGGUGCUCCAGAAACUAAAGAUGGACAGGAAUCAGACCUGAAACCUGAUAAUGCAACUGUGGAAGAGAUCCUGAAGAAAAGAAAAAGUUCAGAUGCUAAUGUGUUAAAUAAGGAGCACAAUGAUAAGAUGAGUAAUCUUGAAAAUGGACAAAACCUGCAUAUUAAGUGGAAGAAGUUGAUUCGGACAAUCUUGAAGCAGUUAAUUUCAGAGUCCCAAUGGAGCCCUCAAACUGAAGAAGCUGCAAAAGCUUGUCAUCAAAUCGCUUGAAGCUUCUGGGGUUGCAAAUGAUGACAAGGGCCAUCUCAAAAGCUUGAUGCUGGAUAAGAUCAGUUCUAGUUCCCACUUUGAGCUCAAUGGGAAGUUGGUUCAUUUGGUGCCGAAAUGUAGUUGAAUUGGAUUUAUUGCGCUACUGCCCACCGUGGCUGCCAAUUCCGUUGACGGCUAUAAGCAACGGCAACUGUUAGCAAGUGCUUGUCCAGACGCCGUUCGUUUGACGCAGGCAGUGCGAGUUUUCCCGAUGCAGGAAAGAAAUGGCAAAGAGAAAAGCGUCUCCAUUCUCCUAUAGCUUUGUUAUUUGAGGAACUCCCUCGUGGGGAAGGAAAAAUAGGCAUCUUGUUUGAGUCUCUCUCUCUCCCCCUCUCUCUGAGGUGCGAAUGCGCCAGUUUUGUGCUCAAAGGUGCUCGGCCUGUUAUUGUGUGUUGAGUAUUCUUAUUGGAAAAAAGCCCUUCUUCAAUGAAGACGGUCGUGUUUAGAGGAGAAAUAUGUUCAAUUGUGUACCUUUGAGUUGCUUUCUUGACGAAAAGUGGCAGUCUUCAAUGAACUUGUUCCUUGAGAAAUAAAUUCCACGGAUCCUCCGGUGUCACGCUUUGAUGUAAACACCAUCAUGAGCAAGCACAAAGUUUGAGAAUAGAACGUGGACAUUGAUUCAAGUUCCUCACUUUA
RNA transcript from Nymphaea colorata (pocket water lily), 1560 nucleotides. It is a transcript of the gene named UBP1-associated proteins 1C-like, with no coding region annotated. The transcript has 6 exons. NCBI's taxonomy places the organism in Eukaryota, Viridiplantae, Streptophyta, Magnoliopsida, Nymphaeales, Nymphaeaceae. The record is from RefSeq and is a predicted model, not a curated record.